CCCUUAGAUGUUCUGGGCCGCACGCGUGCUACACUGAGUGGAUCAGCGGGUCAGGUUGCGCGAAAGUGUUUCCUAAUCUUGAAAUCCGCUCGUGAUGGGGAUUGACGGUUGCAAUUUUCCGUCAUGAACGAGGAAUACCUUGUAAGCGCGGGUCAUCAUCCCGCGCUGAAUACGUCCCUGCCCUUUGUACACACCGCCUGUCGCUCCUACCGAUUGAGUGGUCCGGUGAGGCUUUGGGAUCUGAGCGGAAAGAGCGUUUCGCUGUUUCUGCUCGGAAAACUCAGUCGAACCUUAUCAUUUAGAGGAAGGAGAAGUCGUAACA
This 322-nucleotide ribosomal RNA is filed under the name uncultured eukaryote. RNAcentral describes it as "partial 18S ribosomal RNA". It matches the Rfam family "Eukaryotic small subunit ribosomal RNA", at positions 1470 to 1796 of the family's 1831-position model. The record is from RNAcentral.